Molecule: transfer RNA, 76 nt
Filed under: Herpetosiphon sp.
Lineage: Bacteria; Bacillati; Chloroflexota; Chloroflexia; Herpetosiphonales; Herpetosiphonaceae
Description: tRNA-Pro
Rfam family: tRNA
About the family: Transfer RNA (tRNA) molecules are approximately 80 nucleotides in length. Their secondary structure includes four short double-helical elements and three loops (D, anti-codon, and T loops).
Source: RNAcentral
CGGGGUGUGGCGCAGUUGGUAGCGCGCGACGUUUGGGACGUUGAGGUCGUAGGUUCGAAUCCUAUCACCCCGACCA